CCUACGGGAUGCUGCAGUGGGGAAUAUUGGACAAUGGGCGAAAGCCUGAUCCAGCCAUGCCGCGUGUGUGAAGAAGGCCUUCGGGUUGUAACGCACUUUCAGUGGGGAAGAAAGCCUUGUGGCUAAUACCCUCGAGGAAGGACAUCACCCACAGAAGAAGCACCGGCUAACUCCGUGCCAGCAGCCGCGGUAAUACGGAGGGUGCGAGCGUUAAUCGGAAUUACUGGGCGUACAGCGCGCGUAGGCGGUCUGAUAAGCCGGUUGUGAAAGCCCCGGGCUCAACCUGGGAACGGCAUCCAGAACUGUCAGGCUAGAGUGCAGGAGAGGAAGGUAGAAUUCCCGGUGUAGCAGUGAAAUGCGUAGAGAUCGGGAGGAAUACCAGUGGCGAAGGCGGCCUUCUGGACUGACACUGACGCUGAGGUGCGAAAGCGUGGGUAGCAAACAGGAUUAGAUACCCUUGUAGUC
RNAcentral lists this ribosomal RNA (465 nucleotides) under Vreelandella stevensii. RNAcentral's name for it is "partial 16S ribosomal RNA". It matches the Rfam family "Bacterial small subunit ribosomal RNA", at positions 338 to 795 of the family's 1533-position model. Lineage: Bacteria; Pseudomonadati; Pseudomonadota; Gammaproteobacteria; Oceanospirillales; Halomonadaceae. The record is from RNAcentral.